ACUCAAAUUUAUCAUCAGAAUCCUCUGUAUUGGAGUUAGGUGGCCAGCAGAAAAAUGGGAACUAUUAAAAUCA
This 73-nucleotide transfer RNA is filed under the name Schistosoma japonicum. RNAcentral's name for it is "tRNA-Ser". The record is from RNAcentral. Lineage: Eukaryota; Metazoa; Platyhelminthes; Trematoda; Strigeidida; Schistosomatidae.